GUGCUCACUUUCAGCAGUACAUAUCCUAAAAUUGGAAUGAGACGGAGAGGAUUAGCCUGGGCCCUGUACAAGGAAGACAGGCAAAUUCAUGAAGUGUUUCAUAUUUUU
This is a small nuclear RNA of Loxodonta africana (African savanna elephant), 108 nucleotides long. The record is from Ensembl. Lineage: Eukaryota; Metazoa; Chordata; Mammalia; Proboscidea; Elephantidae.